UACGAAGGGUGCAAGCGUUACUCGGAAUUACUGGGCGUAAAGGGCGCGUAGGCGGCCUUGUAAGUCCUGUGUGAAAUCCCCCGGCUCAACUGGGGAACUGCACAGGAGACUGCUUGGCUUGAGUUCGGGAGAGGGAAGCGGAAUUCCGGGUGUAGCGGUGAAAUGCGUAGAUAUCCGGAGGAACACCGGUGGCGAAGGCGGCUUCCUGGACCGACACUGACGCUGAGGCGCGAAAGCCAGGGGAGCAAACGGG
RNAcentral lists this ribosomal RNA (253 nucleotides) under uncultured bacterium. RNAcentral describes it as "partial 16S ribosomal RNA". It matches the Rfam family "Bacterial small subunit ribosomal RNA", at positions 524 to 776 of the family's 1533-position model. The record is from RNAcentral.